AUGACCGCCUUUCGGGGUUGUAAACCUUCUUUCAGCCAGGCGACGAAGCUGCAUGUGUCCCUUGCAGAAGAAGCGCCGGCCAAAGUAGGCCCCAGCAGCCGGCGGUAAUACGUAGGGGGCCAAGCUUUUUCCGGAAAUUAUUGGGCGUAAAGACCUCGUAGGUGCCUGGUCGCGUCUGCCGGGAAAGCCCUGCAGCUUAACUGCGGGUCUGCGGUGGAUACGGCCCGGCUAGAGGUAGGUAGGGGCAAGUGGAAUUCCUGGUGUAGCGGUGAAAUGCGCAGAUAUCUUAGGAGGAACACCGGUGGCGAAGGCGGCUUGCCUGGCGCCUUACCUGACGCUUACGAGGAGCGAAAGCGUGGGGAGCGACUACAGGAUUAGACUACCCUGGUAGUCCACGCUGUAAACUGUUGGGCGCUAGGUGAUGGGAGAUCUUCCACCAUCUCCGUGCCGGAGCUAACGCAUUAAGCGCAGCCCGCAUGCUGGGAAGUACGGAGCCGCAAGGCUAAAGGACUCAAAGGAAUUGACGGGGGCCCGCACAAGCGGCGGAGCAUGUUGCUUAAUUCGACUUUGCAACGCGAAGAACCUUACCAAGGUUUGACAUCACCCGGAAAGCUCUGGAGCACAGGGCCCUCUUCGGACUGGGUGACAGGUGGUGCAUGGCUGUCGUCAGCUCGUGUCGUGAGAUGUUGGGUUAAGUCCCGCAACGAGCGCACCACCCUUGCUCCAUGUUGCCAGCACGCCCUUCGGGGUGGUGGGGACUCAUGGGGGACUGCCGGGGUCAACUCGGAGGAAGGUGGGGAUGACGUCAAGUCAUCAUGCCCCUUAUGUCUUGGGCUGCAAACAUGCUACAAUGGCCGGUACAGAGGGUUGCGAUACCGUGAGGUGGAGCGAAUCCCUAAAAGCCGGUCUCAGUUCGGAUUGGGGUCUGCAACUCGACCCCAUGAAGUCGGAGUCGCUAGUAAUCGCAGAUCAGCAAUGCUGCGGUGAAUACGUUCCCGGGCCUUGUACACACCGCCCGUCACGUCACGAAAGUCGGCAACACCCGAAGCCCGUGG
Molecule: ribosomal RNA, 1055 nt
Filed under: Streptomyces sp. PJ51
Lineage: Bacteria; Bacillati; Actinomycetota; Actinomycetes; Kitasatosporales; Streptomycetaceae
Description: bacterial SSU rRNA
Rfam family: Bacterial small subunit ribosomal RNA
Source: RNAcentral